UUGGUUAGUUUCGUUUUACAAGCAGGCAAUGAAAAAAAGAAAUUGCUCUCUCUUUCCAUUACUUGUUUAUUUGUAAGUUCUACGAUCAAAAUGGGUUGGGUUAUUAUUCCGCAACAUUUCUCAGGGAUGAACCGAAGAAAUGAUUGUGGGAUAAGAAAAAAAAUGUUGUUUCUCUCUCUGGAUUCAAGUCUUUUCCUGUUCGAAAACAAUCGAGACUAAAAAAACCAGGGAGUGAAAAAAAAGUUUCGGUUCGCGGGACACAAAGUGCUUCCACCGACUGGAAAUAAAUCCAAUCAAUGUCACAUCUUGUUUUUUUGGUUGAGGGUGUGGUAAUGAUCCUUCCGCAGGUUCACCUACGGAAA
This 362-nucleotide unclassified non-coding RNA is filed under the name uncultured fungus. Its description in RNAcentral is "sequence contains ITS1". Lineage: Eukaryota; Fungi. The record is from RNAcentral.